RNAcentral lists this ribosomal RNA (335 nucleotides) under uncultured Thiobacillus sp. Its description in RNAcentral is "bacterial SSU rRNA". It matches the Rfam family "Bacterial small subunit ribosomal RNA", at positions 1039 to 1382 of the family's 1533-position model. Lineage: Bacteria; Pseudomonadati; Pseudomonadota; Betaproteobacteria; Nitrosomonadales; Thiobacillaceae. The record is from RNAcentral.
UGCUGCAUGGCUGUCGUCAGCUCGUGUCGUGAGAUGUUGGUUAAGUCCGCAACGAGCGCAACCCUUAUCAUUAGUUGCUACGCAAGGGCACUCUAAUGAGACUGCCGGUGACAAACCGGAGGAAGGUGGGGAUGACGUCAAGUCCUCAUGGCCCUUAUGGGUAGGGCUUCACACGUCAUACAAUGGUCGGUACAGAGGGUUGCCAAGCCGCGAGGUGGAGCCAAUCCCAGAAAGCCGAUCGUAGUCCGGAUUGUUCUCUGCAACUCGAGAGCAUGAAGUCGGAAUCGCUAGUAAUCGCGGAUCAGCAUGUCGCGGUGAAUACGUUCCCGGGUCUU